Molecule: ribosomal RNA, 301 nt
Filed under: uncultured bacterium
Lineage: Bacteria
Description: bacterial SSU rRNA
Rfam family: Bacterial small subunit ribosomal RNA
Source: RNAcentral
AGAGUUUGAUCAUGGCUCAGGACGAACGCUGGCGGCGUGCUUAACACAUGCAAGUCGAACGGAGCACCCUUGACUGAGGUUUCGGCCAAAUGAUAGGAAUGCUUAGUGGCGGACGGGUGAGUAACGCGUGAGGAACCUACCUUGGAGUGGGGAAUAACAGUCCGAAAGGACUGCUAAUACCGCAUAAUGCAGUUGGGCCGCAUGGCUCUGACUGCCAAAGAUUUAUCGCUCUGAGAUGGCCUCGCGUCUGAUUAGCUAGUAGGCGGGGUAACGGCCCACCUAGGCGACGAUCAGUAGCCGG